This 76-nucleotide transfer RNA is filed under the name Bdellovibrionales bacterium RBG_16_40_8. RNAcentral's name for it is "tRNA-Ala". It matches the Rfam family "tRNA". From Rfam's summary of the family: Transfer RNA (tRNA) molecules are approximately 80 nucleotides in length. Lineage: Bacteria; Pseudomonadati; Bdellovibrionota; Bdellovibrionia; Bdellovibrionales. The record is from RNAcentral.
GGGCCCGUAGCUCAGCUGGGAGAGCGCUAGCAUGGCAUGUUAGAGGUCACCGGUUCGAUCCCGGUCGGGUCCACCA